GACCGGCUGGUCUAACGGCAUGACGCUCCAUUUCAAUGGCUACAUUAACCCGGAGCAGUGUGGGUUUGACUCCCGCGCUGGUCG
This 84-nucleotide transfer RNA is filed under the name Auriculariales sp. MPI-PUGE-AT-0066. Its description in RNAcentral is "tRNA-Sec". It matches the Rfam family "tRNA". From Rfam's summary of the family: Transfer RNA (tRNA) molecules are approximately 80 nucleotides in length. Their secondary structure includes four short double-helical elements and three loops (D, anti-codon, and T loops). Lineage: Eukaryota; Fungi; Basidiomycota; Agaricomycetes; Auriculariales. The record is from RNAcentral.